GAUGAACGCUGGCGGCGUGCUUAACACAUGCAAGUCGAACGGAAAGGCCGAAGCUUGCUUCGGUACUCGAGUGGUGAACGGGUGAGUAACACGUGGGUGAUCUGCCCUGUACUUCGGGAUAAGCUUGGGAAACUGGGUCUAAUACCGGAUAUGACGAUCUCUUGGAUGGGGUUGUGGAAAGCUUUUGCGGUAUGGGAUGAGCUCGCGGCCUAUCAGCUUGUUGGUGGGGUAAUGGCCUACCAAGGCGUCGACGGGUAGCCGGCCUGAGAGGGUGUACGGCCACAUUGGGACUGAGAUACGGCCCAGACUCCUACGGGAGGCAGCAGUGGGGAAUAUUGCACAAUGGGCGCAAGCCUGAUGCAGCGACGCCGCGUGGGGGAUGACGGCCUUCGGGUUGUAAACUCCUUUCGCAAUCGACGAAGCCUUUUGGUGACGGUAGGUGGAGAAGAAGCACCGGCUAACUACGUG
RNAcentral lists this ribosomal RNA (468 nucleotides) under uncultured bacterium. Its description in RNAcentral is "partial 16S ribosomal RNA". It matches the Rfam family "Bacterial small subunit ribosomal RNA", at positions 28 to 507 of the family's 1533-position model. The record is from RNAcentral.